GACGAACGCUGGCGGCGUGCUUAACACAUGCAAGUCGAACGGAAAGGCCCUGCUUUUGUGGGGUGUUCGAGUGGCGAACGGGUGAGUAACACGUGAGUAACCUGCCCUUGACUUUGGGAUAACUUCAGGAAACUGGGGCUAAUACCGGAUAGGAGCUCCUGCUGCAUGGUGGGGGUUGGAAAGUUUCGGCGGUUGGGGAUGGACUCGCGGCUUAUCAGCUUGUUGGUGGGGUAGUGGCUUACCAAGGCUUUGACGGGUAGCCGGCCUGAGAGGGUGACCGGCCACAUUGGGACGGAGAUACGGCCCAGACUCCUACGGGAGGCAGCAGUGGGGAAUAUGGCACAAUGGGCGGAAGCCUGAUGCAGCAACGCCGCGUGCGGGAUGACGGCCUUCGGGUGGUAAACCGCUUUCGCCUGUGACGAAGCGUGAGUGACGGUAAUGGGGAAAGAAGCACCGGCUAACUACGU
RNAcentral lists this ribosomal RNA (467 nucleotides) under uncultured bacterium. Its description in RNAcentral is "partial 16S ribosomal RNA". It matches the Rfam family "Bacterial small subunit ribosomal RNA", at positions 28 to 506 of the family's 1533-position model. The record is from RNAcentral.